This 776-nucleotide ribosomal RNA is filed under the name uncultured Neocallimastigales. Its description in RNAcentral is "partial large subunit ribosomal RNA". It matches the Rfam family "Eukaryotic large subunit ribosomal RNA", at positions 23 to 620 of the family's 3401-position model. The record is from RNAcentral. Lineage: Eukaryota; Fungi; Neocallimastigomycota; Neocallimastigomycetes; Neocallimastigales.
AGAGAGAGACAUGCGCGCAUAUCAAUAAGCGGAGGAAAAGAAACUAACAAGGAUUCCCUUAGUAACGGCGAGUGGAAGCGGGAAGAGCUCAAAUUUGAAAUCUUCAAGGUUUUACCUUGACGAAUUGUAGUUUAAAGAAGUGUUUUCUGCUGAAGUUUUGGUAAAAGUUCUUUGGAAUAGGACAUCAUAGAGGGUGAGAAUCCCGUAUUUGACCAUUAUUUUCAGCUUUGUGAUACACUUUCAAAGAGUCGGAUUGUUUGGGAAUGCAGUCCAAAAUGGGUGGUAAAUUUCAUCUAAAGCUAAAUAUUGGCGAGAGACCGAUAGCGAACAAGUACCGUGAGGGAAAGAUGAAAAGAACUUUGAAAAGAGAGUUAAACAGUACGUGAAAUUGUCAAAAGGGAAGCGUUUGACACCAGUGUUGUUUUCUCGAAAAUCAAUUAAAAAUGGCUCGAUUUUGUAUUGCUUGAGACCUUAAAAGCUCACUGUACAUUUUUCGUGUCUUUUUUAAUGCACUUUUCGUUUAACAAGUCAACAUCAGUUUCUUUUGUUGUAAAAGGGUCAUUGGAAGGUGGCUUUCUUUUCGGAGAAAGUGUUUAUAGCCUUUGGCCUCUGCAAUCGGAGAGACUGAGGUCUGCAGCGUAGACUCUUCGGGGUUAGAUACAUUUGUGCUAAGUUAUAGCUUUUUAUAGACAACUUGUUGACUAUAAUUAGUCUUGUAGCUUACUCGCUUAUGCUAUUUUACCUACGCUUAGGAUGUUGAAGAUGUAGCACAUCAU